AACCNAGGGCAAGGACGUACCUUAACAGGUCCAGACAGAGGAAGGAAUGACAGAUUGAUAGCUCUUUCAUGAUUCUUUGGGUGGUGGUGCAUGGCCGUUCUUAGUUGGUGGAGUGAUUUGUCUGGUUAAUUCCCGUAAACGAACCGAGACCUUAACCUGCUAAAUAGGGUACGGGAAUAGGCUUCGGCUGUCCCGUGAUCGCCUUCUUAGAGGGACUUUGCGGUUAUAAAUCGCAAGGAAGUUUAUAGGCAAUAACAGGUCUGUGAUGCCCUUAGAUGUCCUGGGCUGCACGCGCGCUACACUGAUGCGUUCAUCGAGUUUAUCCUUGGCCGAGAGGCCUGGGUAAUCUUUAGUACGCAUCGUGAUGGGGAUCGAUUAUUGCAAUUAUUAAUCGUGAACGAGGAAUGCCUAGUAUGCGCAAGUCAUCAGCUUGUGCAGAUUACGUCCCUGCCCUUUGGUAACAACGCGGCCGUCGAUCCUACGGAUCGAGUGAAUCGGGUGAAUCUGAUUCGGGACCGUGGAUUGUUACCCCGGUACGGGGGAAUACGUCCAGACGGGGAAAAGGUUAUAGGGUGAAACCCUCAUAUUCACACAUUUAACAAGGGAACAGAGGGACACAAACGUCUCCGUGUAAGAGCCNCGA
This 643-nucleotide ribosomal RNA is filed under the name Theileria cervi. Its description in RNAcentral is "bacterial SSU rRNA". The stretch from base 1 to 457 matches the Rfam family "Eukaryotic small subunit ribosomal RNA", at positions 1202 to 1662 of the family's 1831-position model. Lineage: Eukaryota; Apicomplexa; Aconoidasida; Piroplasmida; Theileriidae. The record is from RNAcentral.